Molecule: ribosomal RNA, 253 nt
Filed under: uncultured bacterium
Lineage: Bacteria
Description: partial 16S ribosomal RNA
Rfam family: Bacterial small subunit ribosomal RNA
Source: RNAcentral
UACAGAGGGUGCGAGCGGUAAUCGGAAUUACUGGGCGUAAAGGGCGCGUAGGCGGCCUGAUAAGUCAUUGGUGAAAUGCCUCGGCUUAACCGAGGAACUGCCAAUGAUACUGUCAAGCUAGAGUAUGGUAGAGGGAAGUGGAAUUUCCGGUGUAGCGGUGAAAUGCGUAGAUAUCGGAAGGAACAUCAGUGGCGAAGGCGACUUCCUGGACCAAUACUGACGCUGAGGCGCGAAAGCGUGGGGAGCGAACAGG